GAUGAACGCUAGCUACAGGCUUAACACAUGCAAGUCGAGGGGAAACGACAUCGAAAGCUUGCUUUUGAUGGGCGUCGACCGGCGCACGGGUGAGUAACGCGUAUCCAACCUGCCCAUCACUUGGGAAUAACCUUGCGAAAGUAAGACUAAUACCCAAUGAUAUCCCACGAAGGCAUCGGAAUGGGAUUAAAGAUUUAUCGGUGAUGGAUGGGGAUGCGUCUGAUUAGCUUGUUGGCGGGGUAACGGCCCACCAAGGCAACGAUCAGUAGGGGUUCUGAGAGGAAGGUCCCCCACAUUGGAACUGAGACACGGACCAAACUCCUACGGGAGGCAGCAGUGAGGAAUAUUGGGCAGUGGGCGAGAGCCUGAACCAGCCAAGUAGCGUGCAGGAAGACGGCCCUAUGGGUUGUAAACUGCUUUUAUAAGGGAAUAAAGUGGGUAACGUGUGACUUUUUGCAUGUACCUUAUGAAUAAGGACCGGCUAAUUCCGUG
This 492-nucleotide ribosomal RNA is filed under the name uncultured bacterium. RNAcentral describes it as "partial 16S ribosomal RNA". It matches the Rfam family "Bacterial small subunit ribosomal RNA", at positions 28 to 507 of the family's 1533-position model. The record is from RNAcentral.